CGCCUCCUGCAAAAAUCAACGUAUAGGAGGUCUUGCCUGCCCAGUGACAAGUUAAACGGCCGCGGUAUUUUGACCGUGCGAAGGUAGCGCAAUCACUUGUCUUUUAAAUGAAGACCUGUAUGAAUGGUGGAACGAGGGCUUAACUGUCUCCCUUUUCAAGUCAAUGAAAUUGAUCUGCCCGUGCAGAAGCGGACAUACCCAUACAAGACGAGAAGACCCUUUGGAGCUUAAGAUAUAAGAUCAACUAUGUCAAGAACCCAAAACUAGGUUAAACUAAAUAGCUAACUGAUCCCUAUCUUCGGUUGGGGCGACCGCGGGAGAAAACAAAGCUCCCAUGCGGACUGGGGUUAAACCCUAAAACCAAGAAAGACAUCUCUAAGUCACAGAAUAUCUGACCACAAAGAUCCGGCCUAACCUGCCGACCAACGGACCAAGUUACCCUAGGGAUAACAGCGCAAUCCCCUCCCAGAGUCCAUAUCGACAAGGGGGUUUACGACCUCGAUGUUGGAUCAGGACAUCCUAAUGGUGCAGCCGCUAUUAAGGGUUC
RNAcentral lists this ribosomal RNA (547 nucleotides) under Pseudolais micronemus (shortbarbel pangasius). RNAcentral describes it as "partial 16S ribosomal RNA". It matches the Rfam family "Bacterial large subunit ribosomal RNA", at positions 1816 to 2574 of the family's 2925-position model. The record is from RNAcentral. Lineage: Eukaryota; Metazoa; Chordata; Actinopteri; Siluriformes; Pangasiidae.